GUUGCCAUGCAGAAUGUCUGUUGGUCAGUUGGGCACAUCUGCACACAUUUACAAUAUCUGCCACCUCUUUUAACCCUCAACCCCGCCCCACAAAAUGAGUGAUGGUGCUUGUUGAUUUGCAGAUUCACAGUCUGGUGAGACAAGUUUGAGAUCUCAUAUUUUCAGCUCAUCCUUGAAAACCUUUCUUCGAUUUGACUGACCUUGAUGGCUCCCUGGAAUCUCACCUACAUUUUAUGGGAAAUUCAACUCUCCAGAGAGAAGAGCUUUCAGAUAGCUACGGGACUUGCAACUAUGACUUUCAGCUUUCGCUUUUGAAUGAGGCUCCAAAUGUCUCAAUGGUGGCACUAUUUCCAGAUUUGGGAGCCCUGCAAAGCUAAUCUGCUCAACCUUCACCUACUGGGUUCAAUGAAUAUGAAAAGCUGCCUUCCUGAAACUUUUCCUUCAAAGAGGGAAUGAUCUCCUGGAAUUCAAGCUUCUACAGGGUGGCUACCUGGUGUUUUCCACUUUUGCCGUCUCCUAAAAAGCAUCAAUCAAGCCUUGCCCUUUCAACCCACUGAACACAUAAACAUGCUUUCUCCUUAACUGAACUUAUGGCCACGAUGAACUUGAACUCUGAGAUUCACAGAGGAGAGUUUGUUUUAACAGCUGCUUUUACAAUGAAGCCCUGGAGUUACUACUCUCAAGACCCCUGGUUCUGAUAGGCCAUCUUUUCACUGUCCUCUGCAUUUUCUAAUGCCCAGCUGUCAAGGAACACCCACUGAAGUUUUCCAAAACAAAGGCACGAAACACAAGAAAGAGAACUGUGUGCAGGCCCAAGGAGAACAACU
Molecule: non-coding RNA, 827 nt
Filed under: Pan troglodytes (chimpanzee)
Lineage: Eukaryota; Metazoa; Chordata; Mammalia; Primates; Hominidae
Source: RNAcentral